UACGAACUGUGCGAACGUUAUUCGGAAUCACUGGGCUUAAAGGGUGCGUAGGCGGCGUCCUCAGUCAGGUGUGAAAUCCCCCGGCUCAACCGGGGAACAGCGCUUGAUACUGGGAUGCUUGAGUGAGGUAGGGGUAUGUGGAACUUCCGGUGGAGCGGUGAAAUGUGUAGAUAUCGGAAGGAACGCCGGUGGCGAAAGCGACAUACUGGGCCUUGUCUGACGCUGAGGCACGAAAGCUAGGGGAGUGAACGGG
Molecule: ribosomal RNA, 253 nt
Filed under: uncultured bacterium
Lineage: Bacteria
Description: partial 16S ribosomal RNA
Rfam family: Bacterial small subunit ribosomal RNA
Source: RNAcentral